RNAcentral lists this ribosomal RNA (253 nucleotides) under uncultured bacterium. Its description in RNAcentral is "partial 16S ribosomal RNA". It matches the Rfam family "Bacterial small subunit ribosomal RNA", at positions 524 to 776 of the family's 1533-position model. The record is from RNAcentral.
UACGGGGGGGGCUAGCGUUGCUCGGAAUCACUGGGCGUAAAGCGCACGUAGGCGGAUUGUUAAGUCAGGGGUGAAAUCCUGGAGCUCAACUCCAGAACUGCCUUUGAUACUGGCGAUCUCGAGUCCGGGAGAGGUGAGUGGAACUGCGAGUGUAGAGGUGAAAUUCGUAGAUAUUCGCAAGAACACCAGUGGCGAAGGCGGCUCACUGGCCCGGUACUGACGCUGAGGUGCGAAAGCGUGGGGAGCAAACAGG